RNAcentral lists this ribosomal RNA (421 nucleotides) under Methanoculleus palmolei. RNAcentral's name for it is "bacterial SSU rRNA". It matches the Rfam family "Archaeal small subunit ribosomal RNA", at positions 856 to 1276 of the family's 1478-position model. The record is from RNAcentral. Lineage: Archaea; Methanobacteriati; Methanobacteriota; Methanomicrobia; Methanomicrobiales; Methanomicrobiaceae.
UUAAAGGAAUUGGCGGGGGAGCACCACAACGGGUGGAGCCUGCGGUUUAAUCGGACUCAACGCCGGGAAACUCACCGGACAAGACAGCUGAAUGAUAGUCGGGCUGAAGACUCUACUUGACUAGCUGAGAGGAGGUGCAUGGCCGUCGUCAGUUCGUACUGUGAAGCAUCCUGUUAAGUCAGGCAACGAGCGAGACCCACGCCAACAGUUGCUAGCUCGUCCUCCGGGAUGGAGAGGACACUGUUGGGACCGCCUCUGCUAAAGAGGAGGAAGGAAUGGGCAACGGUAGGUCAGCAUGCCCCGAAUUGUCCGGGCUACACGCGGGCUACAAUGGGUGGGACAAUGGGUAUCGACACCGAAAGGUGAAGGCAAUCUCCUAAACCCAUCCUUAGUUCGGAUUGUGGGCUGCAACUCGCCCACA